GACGAACGCUGGCGGCGUGCUUAACACAUGCAAGUCGAACGGUGAAGCUCCAGCUUGCUGGAGUGGAUCAGUGGCGAAUGGGUGAGUAACACGUGAGCAACCUGCCCCUGACUCUGGAAUAAGCGCUGGAAACGGCGUCUAAUACUGGAUACGAGAAGGGUCCGCAUGGGCACUUUCUGGAAAGUUUUUCGGUUGGGGAUGGGCUCGCGGCCUAUCAGCUUGUUGGUGAGGUAAUGGCUCACCAAGGCGACGACGGGUAGCCGGCCUGAGAGGGCGACCGGCCACACUGGGACUGAGACACGGCCCAGACUCCUACGGGAGGCAGCAGUGGGGAAUAUUGCACAAUGGGCGAAAGCCUGAUGCAGCGACGCCGCGUGAGGGAUGACGGCCUUCGGGUUGUAAACCUCUUUCAGCAGGGAAGAAGCGAAAGUGACGGUACCUGCAGAAGAAGCACCGGCUAACUACGUG
This 468-nucleotide ribosomal RNA is filed under the name uncultured bacterium. RNAcentral's name for it is "partial 16S ribosomal RNA". It matches the Rfam family "Bacterial small subunit ribosomal RNA", at positions 28 to 507 of the family's 1533-position model. The record is from RNAcentral.